RNAcentral lists this long non-coding RNA (372 nucleotides) under Lupinus angustifolius (narrow-leaved blue lupine). RNAcentral's name for it is "long non-coding RNA (LANG_LNC003109)". The record is from RNAcentral. Lineage: Eukaryota; Viridiplantae; Streptophyta; Magnoliopsida; Fabales; Fabaceae.
UCCUUAAUGUUACAGAAUAAACAUACAUACAUGAAAUCAAAAGCUUUGUAAAAAAAUGAAUCGGAAGAAAAGGAGAUAGAAACAUGAAAGGAAUAUUAUCGAAGGGGGGAAAAUUACCUUCCAAACCCAGAAACCCAAAAUGAAACCCUUACCAAAUUGUUACCUCGACAAAUCUACUCACAACAUAAGAGGGAGAGAGAGGUAUACAUGUCUACUGCAAAUAUUAGUAGAUGUGCUACGCACAUCACGAAGCAAAACUUCAAUGAUGAGCAAACAAAAGUGUAACACGUAGAAAUUGCACCGAGAAAAAACAACACAAAGAUGAAGGAUGCAGCAUAAGCCAUCGAUAUGAAGAGUUGCUAAGUUUCUAAC